AUUGAACGCUGGCGGCAUGCUUUACACAUGCAAGUCGGACGGCAGCGGGUAGUGCUUGCACUAUGCCGGCGAGUGGCGAACGGGUGAGUAAUUAUUGGAACGUACCGAGUAAUGGGGGAUAACCAAUCGAAAGAUUGGCUAAUACCGCAUACGCUCUGAGGAGAAAGCAGGGGACCUUCGGGCCUUGCGUUAUGACGGCCAAUAUCUGAUUAGCUAGUUGGUGGGGUAAAGGCCUACCAAGGCGACGAUCAGUAGCGGUCUGAGAGGAUGAUCCGCCACACUGGGACUGAGACACGGCCCAGACUCCUACGGGAGGCAGCAGUGGGGAAUUUUGGACAAUGGGCGCAAGCCUGAUCCAGCCAUCCGCGUGUCUGAAGAAGGCCUUCGGGUUGUAAAGGACUUUUGUUAGGGAAGAAAAAGAACGGUUAAUACCCGUUUCUGCUGACGUACUAAAGAAUAAGCACCGCUAA
RNAcentral lists this ribosomal RNA (470 nucleotides) under Neisseria elongata. Its description in RNAcentral is "bacterial SSU rRNA". It matches the Rfam family "Bacterial small subunit ribosomal RNA", at positions 30 to 500 of the family's 1533-position model. The record is from RNAcentral. Lineage: Bacteria; Pseudomonadati; Pseudomonadota; Betaproteobacteria; Neisseriales; Neisseriaceae.